CACUCCUGCGGGAGGCAGCAGUGGGGAAUAUUGCACAAUGGGCGCAAGCCUGAUGCAGCCAUGCCGCGUGUAUGAAGAAGGCCUUCGGGUUGUAAAGUACUUUCAGCGGGGAGGAAGGCAAUACGGUUAAUAACCGUGUUGAUUGACGUUACCCGCAGAAGAAGCACCGGCUAACUCCGUGCCAGCAGCCGCGGUAAUACGGAGGGUGCAAGCGUUAAUCGGAAUUACUGGGCGUAAAGCGCACGCAGGCGGUCUGUCAAGUCGGAUGUGAAAUCCCCGGGCUCAACCUGGGAACUGCAUUCGAAACUGGCAGGCUUGAGUCUUGUAGAGGGGGGUAGAAUUCCAGGUGUAGCGGUGAAAUGCGUAGAGAUCUGGAGGAAUACCGGUGGCGAAGGCGGCCCCCUGGACAAAGACUGACGCUCAGGUGCGAAAGCGUGGGGAGCAAACAGGAUUAGAUACCCUUGUAGUCCCA
RNAcentral lists this ribosomal RNA (472 nucleotides) under uncultured organism. Its description in RNAcentral is "partial 16S ribosomal RNA". It matches the Rfam family "Bacterial small subunit ribosomal RNA", at positions 334 to 797 of the family's 1533-position model. The record is from RNAcentral.